GAGAGAUGAGUGGUGCUGGAAUGGGUAGUUCUUCGUGGAUCGCUGGGACUUUCAAUCUUUUGUCAUCAACGCCAUAUUCUGCCGAGUCUUCAAAAUCGCCAAAUAAAUCUCAAUGCAGUAGCAGCGCUAGAAGACGCCCGGCAUAUUGUAAAUUUUCGUUACCAGCGAAUGAUCUCAAAUUUGUUCUUCAUGACGCCCUUCAAUCUUCUGGCCUGGACACCACGCAUGCCCGAGCAGCAAGGAAUGGUUUCUGCCAGCAGAUUCAAAAAUUAACUGACGUGGAAAGAGAAACUAGCAUUAGUAUAAAUAGAGUGGUUGAUUUGGGGAAGACAGCUCUUCAUGUGGCAGCGGAGGAUGACUCCCUCAUAUCACAUUCUUCUGUUCCACUUCCGGUUGAUGAUUUUAUUGACAGAUUGGAUGACCUUUCUAUGGGCUACUGCUCGCACUAUGGCUCUUCCUUCAGAUACCCGCCUGAGAAAUUUCUUGAGUGUUUGGAUAGAUACUUGUACGUAGAUAAAGGUUUUCAGAGAUCUAAACAUAGUCAAGUGGAGCAGCGUUCUCUUUAUCUGCACUCAGUUUUGACUCAUCGUUCAGGUUCGGCUUCUAUGCUGUCACUUAUAUAUUCAGAGGUCCUAAAAAUGCUUCGCUUGUGGGGUAUGGUGAAUUUUGAUGUAGAGGUUUUCUUCCCUCACGAUUCUCAUAGUUCUCCAAGAGGCUAUCACAAACAGAAAAGCAGGGAGGGUGAUCAAUUACAUAUUAUGACAUCCCAAUCUUUAUUGGUGGAGAUUUUGAAAGACUUAAAAAAUGCAUUUUGGCCUUUUCAACAUGAUCCUGCUAAGAGCCUUUUCUUCAGGGCAGCUCAAGCUGCUAAUUGCGAUACAUCCAACAGUGUUGAAGAAAGUGCAUUAAAGAUUGCAUCAGCAAAGGCUGCUCAGCAUAGGCUACUGCGAGGUGUUUGGACUAGUGUUCAGUUUGGGGAUAUGCGACGUGCACUUGCUGGUAUGAGGCUUCUUUGGCUUUCAUCUUAAAGUGCUUUCUAAACUGGUCUUGGUUCUUAGGUCAAGAGGAUAGGUGACAUAUCAAAUACUACAAAGUUAAUGGAGUUCAAAGCACAAUGGUUGUUAAAACAAAUUCUUUAGGGACCUCUAAAGAACUUGAGUGGGAAUCUGAGAGUUCUCAGUUAGAAGGUUUAGAGCUCUAUGAUAAUUGAGCAGCAUGUGAACGUCUUAUCCUUCUUGAAACUGACCCAAUAGAGCUCAGAGACUAUGGAGUUCUCCUUUACCACUGUGGGUUUUAUGAGAUGGCACU
Non-coding RNA from Coffea arabica (coffee), 1308 nucleotides. The record is from RefSeq and is a predicted model, not a curated record. NCBI's taxonomy places the organism in Eukaryota, Viridiplantae, Streptophyta, Magnoliopsida, Gentianales, Rubiaceae.